This is a non-coding RNA of Meleagris gallopavo (turkey), 5769 nucleotides long. Lineage: Eukaryota; Metazoa; Chordata; Aves; Galliformes; Phasianidae. The record is from RefSeq and is a predicted model, not a curated record.
ACAGAUUUAUCUAUUCUUGUUUACUCUAAUUGCAAAGUAACAGUCACCAUUGCUUUAAUUAAGCUGCCUUUUCUUGAUUGCUUUAGACUUAAUUCCAAUUUCUAGGAGUUAGCUGUCCAUUCUUUGUUCCUUGCUAUACUUUUCUAUAAGAAGCUAGUUCACAUUGUUCAAACCUCAUAAGACUUUUCCAAUACGGAAUGAAGUCUGGAUUUCUUUCAAGUCAUUGGUAAAAUUCCUACUGACUUUCACAGGAUUUUUGCCCACACAGAUUUCAGUAUAUGCCAUCUGACUUUAUUUAAGACCUCAUUAAAGUUUUAAAUCUGCCAAAGCUGUAUCCAAAGCUGUAUUUUUCUGAUUUUUCUCAUCAUUGUCCUUCCUUUCAAAAAGAAUAAAUGCAUUUGCAAUGCAUCAAGAGCCUUUCUACAAUAGUACCUAAGAAAUAGCCUCUGCCACCAGACAUUUGCAGCAAAACUGUGUUAUUACAUUUAAAUUUCCAAGUCUCAGUAGCCAGCAAGUUACUAGAGUUCUAUUAUAGUUGUGAUACAUGAACUGCACAUUGUUAUGGUAAUGACUUCUUUUUUCCUUCCCUUUGAAGUAGCAGUGUAAAUACAAAGGAUAUCACAUUGGUCUUGGAAUGAUACCUUCUUUACUUCAACUCUGUGUACUGUGCAGUAAUCACAAUUGCUCAAGAAGGAAUUAAAGUGCAUUAGAGCUCCACGUUCACUGUUCCUGCUAGCUCAACAAUGGCCAAAGUUAACUCAAAGCAUUAACUUCGAAACAAAUUAAAAGAAAUAUAAAAGAUCCUUUACUUGUCCAUCAACUGUGAUGCUCAAGAAGCCAGUCUUCAGGUUCAAGUGUGACACUGAGGUAGAAUCCAAACCUACACAAUGGCACUUAAAAAGCACCAUAGUGGUUACAAUGGUGGUUAAGAAAAAUAACAUUGUUUCUUCAUAUAGUCAUCAUAAAAUAUUACAGCUGACCAGAUGGUGGAGCAAUUACAUUUCCAUAGUACUAAAUGGCUAUUUAGCUUAUCCACUUGUGAACUGUUAAUUAAAAUUGGGAGAGAUAUCAUUUAUAUUCAAAGGGAAGAAAGAACUAUAUUGGACAUGCUUAAACAAAGACUCACAAAUUUUAUUCAACAAGAGAUCCAAUUCUUUUACCCUUCCACUGACCCCACUAGGGAACAAACAAACAAAAAGUCAUUGACAAUAAGGCUGUGGUAUAAACUGAUGAAGAGUAGGCGAUCCAGGGAGCUGAGCAAUCCUGAGAGCACAUGUGCACAACACAUCUUGUUGUUUGCUGCAAACAAGCUGAACCCCUCCAGCUGCAUGGGUGAGUACAUGGUGCACUGAAGAUCACUUGCACUCGGAAGGGGAAGCUGCUGUGUGAAUGCAGCCCCCUCCCCCAGGACCAAAUAGCACUGUCACUUACACAGCAUUGUGAGAUCAGGUCAGACUUGUGUGGGUAUUUAUACUAAUUCAUCUGUAACACUGAGAGUUUGUGGGUUCAGCUUUAUGCAGUAGUUCAUCAAUGUGCUAUUAAAUUCUGCUACAAACUAAUGAUUAAUUUAGCCAAACAGAUAUACAGUUCAAAGUACUUAUCUGUGAAGGUAAUUAUAUUCCUGUAUUGUUCUAGAGUGAGUUCUUGCACCAUUGCCUCGAUUUGGGUACACAAGAUUAAAUUCAUUAAUAAACAAAGGGCUGAAGUGAACAAAGCAGGGAAGAUUUUUAGGUAGAAGCAAUUAGGCAAUCUAAUUUAAAUGGGAGGAAAAAAACAGACAAUGCUCCUUUAAAACUGAAACACAGGACAGCAGAGAUAAGUUUCGUGUAGCUUAGUGCAUUCACUUUAAUCUGCCCUCGUUAGUCAAUUCAAGUAAACUUUCAUGAGCUCCUCUAUGUAAAUGAAACCUUGAUCUUCUGAAGACUGUGGUAACGCACAUGCUGUGAUAUGCUGGAACUCCUCACCUCCUUCCUGGCUUCAGCUGAGGCUGAGCCCUUUUGCAGUGCCACUCCUUUGAAACAGAUUUCCCCCACCACUGAGUAUAGUGCUCCUCAGAACUAGAUGGCAAAUGCAAUGCACACACUCUCUGGUGUGCUUGGAGCUAUGCACUGUGUCCCUUCUCCCUCUUCUUGGUGAAUCUUGAUCCUAAUUCUGCUGGAUUGAAGCUUUCAAGCCCUCUGUUCUUGAGUCAGGCAGUUUCUGGGCCUCCUCUCUGCCUAUGAAGCUGGAAAGCACAGACUGUUUUUAUUGUCUGUGAGAUUAAAAAUGCCCCAAACAGCUUGAGCAAAAAAAUGUAAAGAAAAAGGAGAGAAAAGAAGGUUGAUGUCUCAUUCACCAUAAAAUGACCUCAGGCUUUAGUAGCCCCAACACCUAACACAAGCUUGGCAGUGUGGGUUCAUUGAGAAAAAGCAGGUUUCAAUAGCUGAAGUGGAGUUUGCGGUCUCUUAGAAAACUUAAGAUGCAAACUGUUUUUAUUGGUUACCUACUGGGGGUGCUCAACAUACAUUACUGACCAUUUCUGCCCACUUAAUUUUUUGCUAUCUUUAUGUCCUUUUCUUGUUAAAUGUAAAAUGUUUAAGGGAGCCACAGAAGAAAUGACCUAAGUACCUAUGUACAGUAACUGCACUUGCUAUCUAGGAAGAACUGACCAAGUAUGUAAUUUUCAAAUUUUAUUCUUCAAAAGACUUCUGAAGUAUAUUCAUUCUUAUCCAAUAUGAAAGACCUUUAAGAUAAAAUGCUCUCUCUUAGUGACAGAUCUUCAGGACUUGCCCUUCCUUUCAGAUGAGAAGAUCAGAGCUGUGUGCCCAUGGCUGCACCCGCACCCUGCUGUGCCAUCGCCUUGUCAGGACAAGAUCACAGUGUGUCCACUGAGUGCGAGCUCUGCUCUUUUAGAAGAUUGGCCUGGUGCUAGACUUCCCAAGUCAUCUCCAGGGCUGUCAUUGGAGUGUUGGUGACAUCAGCAGCCUGGGUAUGUGAAUCAGGGCACAGAUGAAUCAGUGCAGGCAGAAUUGAAAGCAGCUCAUUCCCUCAACUAAAACCACUGCUCUUUGGAUUCUCCUCUAUAAAGAGAUCCAUUAUUCACUGCUCUUUGGAACCAGUUCGUACUAUGGUCUACGGAACACUGAAGAAAGAAAACUUGAAGAAUUCAAAGCGGAGGUACAGAAAAAACAGGCAGCAAUGAAGUAUGUGGCUCUUAGUACUUUAGGAGAGGCUGUUGAGCAAGAGAUCCUUUGGAAUGUGGUUUGGCUGUUAAUUCUUGAUUUUGCUAGUGUUGUGUUGCUUCAGACUUUUCAGAAGUGUGUACAUAUCUAUGUUUGAAGCACUGUGAAAGGAUCCAACUGCUUUGCUGGUUAGGUUUCAAAGGCUGAACUGCAAAGUGUAGCUCUGAAAUGUGCCUCAGCCAUUAACUCAAAUCAGAAAUGUUGCCUUUGCACACCUGCCCUAAGUAUACAGAAGAAAAACAUAACAAAUUUUAACACAGUGGAAUUUUAUGAUCAUCCCAUGCCAGCUGUUUCAUCUUUUGACUCAAACAAUCUAUCAUGGCCUCAGCCUAAAGAUGAGGAACAUUUAAGACUAUCUUUGUCCGGGUUGAAACAAACUGCAGAAAGUAAACUGCUCCUUUAUGACUAGAUACAUUAAAGUUGGCCCUUAAGUAAUUUAAAGUUAAGACGAUUGUCUUUGUUAAGGUUUGUAGGGAUCAAGAGCAUUCUGCUAACAGCUAGUGGGUCUCAGUUGCCCAAAGUUAUUAAAGGAUUCAGAGUUCAGCUGCAGCUAAAACUUCUUGUUUUCCUGGAUAUUACAGAUUAGCAGAUUUUAAAACAUAGUUAUAGGAUGGUUGCUUAAGAUGGAUUUUCGAGCAUGCUAUGAAAAGUCUGCACAUGCUUAACCUAAUGCUGUGGCCAGAUCCAAAUCACAUCAGUUCUGUGAUUAAAACAACAGUGCAAACCUGUUAAUUUAGGUACUGGUCACCCAUCCAAGGUUCUGCACAUUGCAUGCCCAGUGUACCCAAGGGAUUUUAGAAAUCUGCAGCUUCCAAAGACACAAGUUUUAGGGAAAUGGAGAAAAGCUGAUGAUGAUAAAGGCAAAGAUUUGUAAACAUUACCUGUGAUUAAGUUUUGGGACAGGCAUAGGAAACAAGCUCACAGGACUCAAGGGCUCCUGGAGGCUCUGAACAAGGUGCCAGACUGAUGGGACUGCCUGCAUACUCAUAUUAAAGCAAUGCCAUGCAAGAUGCCACUGACACCUUGGGAAAGAAAGGAGAGGAAAGCCCGACUACUACUGAGGCCUCAUUAGAGAGUGUACAAGAGAUCAAGGACAUUCAAAGUUCUCUCCUGAUACAGGUCCAUCUGCAUGGAUGACAUACAGUCCUCAUGGCAUUCCAACUUAUCUUGGAUAAUUCUUGAUAUUCUGGCUCCUGGGCCUUCCAGAUCUUCCCAGGAGUAUUAUCUGCAUGUGACUGUCCCAAAGCCUCAGUCCAGUACAACAACCAUUCCACUGCCUGAAGGCACUGGUUCAGUUUGUGAGAAAUUCUCCCUUGAACAAUGAGUAUGCACAACACUUGCCAAACAGUAAUGAACUACUUGAUUACCUAAAUGAGAAAAUGGGAGGUAGGGUAUGAUGGAUCUAGUGGACUGCCAGAUUGUUAUUAAAACUGGGUUUAGAAGUGAUGUCAUUUCAGUGUCAUCUCUUGGCAGACUGCCUAUUCAGAGGACCCUCGUAGGGGAUCACACUGGGGGCUUCUGUAGUGUGGAGAGCUGUGAAUCCAUGUGAGGGGUAAUAUUUCAUUAAUGGGAUGUUUGUCUUUUCUGGAUGUGUGGAAGAGCGAUGAGACUUCGCCACUUCUCUUCUCACCUUGUGUAGGGGGGGCAGCUAGAUGUGGUUGAUGCCUGCAGGAGCUUACAAUCAUGACAGAGAAAUCGAUGUGUUCCAAUACAGCUUUGAGGGAUGGGCCAUUGUUCUUGUCCCAAAUGAAAAGACAGUUGUGUGUUUCUUAGUUGUCAUAUACUUAUGUGAUGUGUUUAAAAUAUUUUAUAUCAUAUAUAAAAUAAAUAUAAAACUAUUGAGCAACUUGACUCAGAGGGAAAUAAAUACAUUUGCCACAUUUAUCAUGAUGUACAUAUUCUGACAUAGCAUACAUCAGGUGCAGAUAUUUCCUUAAAAAUAUCUGUCUUCUUUGGUUUUGACUGUGAAUGCAGUUAUAUUUCCAAGUAAGUACUUGCUGAUGUUUUAAUUUCUUCAGCACUGAUGACAUAAAAGAUCUUUGUACUGUGUAUGUGGCUUGCUUAGGAAAAUUCCACUUGAACUCUGGAGCAAUCUGAAGAAUUUUGUCAGAAAGUUUGAGAGGGGAGAAUUUUACUUUGCACUCUCUUGACUGCUGCCUUUGAAGACAGACGUAAAGCUAACACUGGUUUAAAUGGAAACAUAAAUAAAACAAUUCUGAAAAUUCUGAGCUCAGAAAACUUCAGCUUUUAAUUCCACUGUUACUGUGUGUACUACAGCUUAAAAAGAAAGCGUUGCCUACUUAGGUUUUCAUUAAACUCAUUUAUUUCAUAUCAGUUAAACUCAUUAUUGUAUUUUCCAAUGAGCAACAAUGUUUUGUUUAAACUUGUCAAGUCUGCAAAAAACCCUAAUAUUUUCAAGAAACUGAAUUUAGGAAAAAUAAAGAAAAUGCUGCAGUACUGUUGGCACAAAUUGUUUUCACAUUUAUGCUUAUUUGCAUUUUGAGAAGUGAUACAGAAGAUGAAGCAGUAUUAACUUUGAAAUAAAGUA